Lolium perenne is the source of this 443-nucleotide non-coding RNA. Lineage: Eukaryota; Viridiplantae; Streptophyta; Magnoliopsida; Poales; Poaceae. The record is from RefSeq and is a predicted model, not a curated record.
UCUUCUCGUCAUCAAUUUGGAAAUUGGAGAAGUUGAAGUCUUUGACUCACUAAGCAAAAAAUCGGAACUAUACGUGUCUUGUUUUUUAAUGCUCAGAAGGUAAUUUUAAUUCUUAUCGGUUUGUUUCGUUAAUUUCCUGCUUUGAACUAAUUGAUGACUCUUUUAUGCAUUUUCUUUUGUCGAGCAGCGUAUGGCAAACUUUCAUCAAGGAAGAUACGUCCCGUGAAUGGACACCGAAGCUGCGAUGGCGUGCGAAAAAAUGCCCGCAACAACCUCCGGGGACCGAUCUCUGUGGAUUCUUCGUUUGCGAGUACAUCCGCAGAAUUGUCAGCGAGAGAACGAAUAAUGAAAGAAAUAAAGAGUUGGCAAGAAAGCGGAACAAGCUCUCAAUCGAUGACCGCUUCAUAGCAAUAGGCGAGGAAUUGGCGGGAUUUUUCCUUCGG